CCCGGAUUUUAUAACAACAACAAAAGCGGCGAUUUUAUUAUUUUUCACUGAGGCCGCAUGCUAGUUACAAAAUGAAACUACGCCAAUAUCUUCCAAAUAAAAUUCAAGAACUCUCUAUCGAAUAUUAUUCUGUAACUUGCAUGCGGCCAAAUCCAAUUUGGUUGAAAUCAUGGUGAAAUUUCCGGAUAUGAACGCAUUCCG
RNAcentral lists this long non-coding RNA (201 nucleotides) under Mytilus galloprovincialis (Mediterranean mussel). The record is from RNAcentral. Lineage: Eukaryota; Metazoa; Mollusca; Bivalvia; Mytilida; Mytilidae.